RNAcentral lists this small RNA (569 nucleotides) under Pan troglodytes (chimpanzee). Its description in RNAcentral is "processed transcript". Lineage: Eukaryota; Metazoa; Chordata; Mammalia; Primates; Hominidae. The record is from RNAcentral.
AUUUACCGAUGUAGCAGAAUCCUUGAUAAGCCAAAUCAAUAAAAGAUACAAAACAAAAGAUGACAUCAAGUCUACAAGAAAAUUAAAGGAGUCUUUGAUUAACAGUGAUUUUUCAAACAAACCUGUUGUACAACUCAGUAAGGCAUGUCAUGCAUAACUUGAGGUUUCCUGAAGAAAAAGUUCAGAAAAAAAGCUACAGAAAACUGAAGACUACCUUUGUUAAUGUUACUUCUGAAUGCCCAGUGAAUGAUGUUUACAAUUUUAAUUUGAAUGGAGCUGAUGACCCUAUCAUAAAACUUGGAAUCCAAGAGUUUCAAGCUACAGCUAAAGAAGCUUGUGCGGAUAGGUCAAUUAGAUUGGUAGGUCCAAGGAAUCAUGAUGAACUUAAAUCUUCUGUCAAAACAAAAGAUAAAAAAAUUAUAACAAAUCAUCAAAAGAAAAAUCUGUUUAGUGAUACUGAAACAGAGUACAGAUGUGAUGACAGCAAGACUGAUAUUAGCUGGCUAAGAGAACCAAAAUCAAAACCACAGCUAAUAGACUAUAGCAGAAAUAAAAAUGUGAGGAAUCAU